GAGCAAAUAUAUGUUCAUAUUUCUAUUUUAAGUAGGCUAAAAAAACCAUUAUAUUUUCACUAUAAAAUUAAAACAUUUCUUAA
This 83-nucleotide transfer RNA is filed under the name Platerodrilus sp. UPOL VP2301. RNAcentral's name for it is "tRNA-Glu". Lineage: Eukaryota; Metazoa; Arthropoda; Insecta; Coleoptera; Lycidae. The record is from RNAcentral.